AUUGAACGCUGGCGGCAGGCCUAACACAUGCAAGUCGAGCGAGCGGCGGACGGGUGCGUACUGUAUGGGGACUGCCCGAUAGCGGGGGAUAACUACUGGAAACGGUAGCUAAUCCCGCAUACUAUCGGAUAACCCAUAUGGGAUUAGCUAGUAGGUGGGGUAAUGGCCCACCUAGGCGACGAUCCCUAGCUGGACUGAGAGGAUGAUCAGCCACACUGGGACUGAGACACGGCCCAGACUCCUACGGAGGCAGCAGUAGGGAAUAUUGCACAAUGGGCGAAAGCCUGAUGCAGCCAUGCCGCGUGUAUGAAGAAGGCCCUAGGGGUGUAAAGUACUUUCAGUCGGGAGGCGUUACCGACAGAAGAAGCACCGGCUAACUACGUGCCAGCAGCCGCGGUAAUUC
Molecule: ribosomal RNA, 403 nt
Filed under: uncultured bacterium
Lineage: Bacteria
Description: partial 16S ribosomal RNA
Rfam family: Bacterial small subunit ribosomal RNA
Source: RNAcentral